This 200-nucleotide ribosomal RNA is filed under the name uncultured bacterium. Its description in RNAcentral is "partial 16S ribosomal RNA". It matches the Rfam family "Bacterial small subunit ribosomal RNA", at positions 328 to 539 of the family's 1533-position model. The record is from RNAcentral.
ACGCUCGACACCUACGGGAGACAGCAGGUGGGGAAUAUUGCACAAUGGGGGAAACCCUGAUGCAGCGACGCCGCGUGGAGGAAGAAGGUCUUCGGAUUGUAAACUCCUGUUGUUAGGGGAAAAAGAGGAUGGUACCCAACAAGGAAGUGACGGCUAACUACGUGCCAGCAGCCGCGGUAAUCUGAGCGGGCUGGCAAGGC